AGAGUUUGAUCCUGGCUCAGAUUGAACGCUGGCGGAAUGCUUUACACAUGCAAGUCGAACGGCAGCACGGGUGCUUGCACCUGGUGGCGAGUGGCGAACGGGUGAGUAAUAUAUCGGAACGUACCUAUUAAUGGGGGAUAACUAAUCGAAAGGUUAGCUAAUACCGCAUACGCCCUGAGGGGGAAAGCGGAGGACCGUAAGGCUUCGCGUUAAUAGAGCGGCCGAUAUCUGAUUAGCUAGUUGGUGGGGUAAUGGCCUACCAAGGCGACGAUCAGUAGCUGGUCUGAGAGGACGACCAGCCACACUGGAACUGAGACACGGUCCAGACUCCUACGGGAGGCAGCAGUGGGGAAUUUUGGACAAUGGGCGCAAGCCUGAUCCAGCCAUUCCGCGUGAGUGAAGAAGGCCUUCGGGUUGUAAAGCUCUUUCGCAAGAGAAGAAAACUUACCCUCUAACAUAGGGUGAGGUUGACGGUACCUUGAUAAGAAGCACCGGCUAACUACGUGCCAGCAGCCGCGGUAAUACGUAGGGUGCGAGCGUUAAUCGGAAUUACUGGGCGUAAAGCGUGCGCANGCGGUUUUGAAAGUCAGAUGUGAAAUCCCCGGG
RNAcentral lists this ribosomal RNA (606 nucleotides) under uncultured freshwater bacterium. RNAcentral's name for it is "bacterial SSU rRNA". It matches the Rfam family "Bacterial small subunit ribosomal RNA", at positions 8 to 607 of the family's 1533-position model. The record is from RNAcentral.